This is a long non-coding RNA of Solanum pennellii, 766 nucleotides long. RefSeq lists it as uncharacterized. The transcript is spliced from 3 exons. The record is from RefSeq and is a predicted model, not a curated record. NCBI's taxonomy places the organism in Eukaryota, Viridiplantae, Streptophyta, Magnoliopsida, Solanales, Solanaceae.
UUUAGUUUUAAAGGCCAAUAGAAAGAAAUAUCUUCUUUUACCCAAAUUCUCUUAGUCAAUUUUUACUCCAUUCUCAAGUUUUUGGAAGUCACGAUGGAUUUGAGCUCUGAAGCCUCCGUUGAUUUGAAGCUUCCUUCAGUGGCUACUAAGGAUUUGAGCUGAAGCACGCAUCAAUUUUUCUUUCUGCUUGAACUGAAGUGCACUAAGAGAAAAAUAAGGAAUAUCUUGAACAAUCAUGGAGAAUUCUAGAAAUAGAAGAUGGAUGGAUUACAGUAGAGUCAGUAAAGAGUAUUUAGAUGGAGUAGAAAAUUUCCUAAACCAUGUAUUUCGUGAAAACCAUAAUGGAGGAACAAUUUCAUGCCCUUGUACAAAAUGUGUGCUAUACUAUCAAGUAAAUAGGGCAGUGGCAUAUGAUCAUCUCAUGCUGAUACUCAUGCCAAUAUUCUGCUCAUACAAAAUACAAAUGUUGAUUUUCUGCUUAUACAUGGAGCAUUACAUGUUUGAGAUACUAUAUUUGGACAAGAUGUGGUAUACUCGUUCAAAUGGUGAACUUGUUCAAGGAAUGACAGACUGAUCCAGGGAGCUGCACAUUUUGCAUUAGGGAAAAAAACAGUGGCUUUAUUGCUUUAUUUUCUCCAUUGUUGAACAUAAUUUUUCUAUUUUGAUAAUUCAUAGUUUCUUUUACUGCUAACGAGAUUAGAAAGUGAAUGUGAUAAAGAUUGUUUGAUCUUAUUUUAUGUGAAUGACAUUGUUUUGAGUUUGGUAA